GAAUAUCUUGGGUUUGUUAGUAGUUUGAGUAUUUGUAUCAACAAAGGAAAUUAUCAUGUGAUAUUUCAUUGUAAUCAAAAUGCUUAUAUCAAACUUAUGAAAUGGUGGAAGAUCAUGAUUAUUUUUCGAUGGUUUUAACAUCAAUAAAGAGUGGAGUAGGCAAAGCGAGGACGAACAUUGAACUACUAUAUAUCUUUAUGUAUCUCUCUUUCUUCCCUUAUCUCUU
RNAcentral lists this long non-coding RNA (226 nucleotides) under Lathyrus oleraceus (garden pea). Its description in RNAcentral is "Pisum sativum (pea) long non-coding RNA (PSAT_LNC028423)". Lineage: Eukaryota; Viridiplantae; Streptophyta; Magnoliopsida; Fabales; Fabaceae. The record is from RNAcentral.